Molecule: ribosomal RNA, 257 nt
Filed under: uncultured bacterium
Lineage: Bacteria
Description: partial 16S ribosomal RNA
Rfam family: Bacterial small subunit ribosomal RNA
Source: RNAcentral
UGCUUCCUACGGGGCGCAGCAGUGGGGAAUAUUGCACAAUGGGCGCAAGCCUGAUGCAGCGACGCCGCGUGCGGGAUGGAGGCCUUCGGGUUGUAAACCGCUUUUGUUCAAGGGCAAGGCACGGUCUUUGGCCGUGUUGAGUGGAUUGCUCGAAUAAGCACCGGCUAAAUACGUGCCAGCAGCCGCGGUAAUACGUAGGGUGCAAGCGUUAUCCGGAUUUAUCGGGCGUAAAGGGCUCGUAGGCGGUUCGUCGCGUC